This is a long non-coding RNA of Salvia splendens (bonfire salvia), 781 nucleotides long. RefSeq lists it as uncharacterized. Lineage: Eukaryota; Viridiplantae; Streptophyta; Magnoliopsida; Lamiales; Lamiaceae. The transcript has 2 exons. The record is from RefSeq and is a predicted model, not a curated record.
CUUACUUAAUAAGGAAAUAAUUAAGAAAAAAUAAGGGAUUCUAAGAGUAAUUAGUUAACCCUAAUUAAUUCACUAAUUACCUAAACAUUAGAAUCCACCCACCUAAUUGACCGUCACUUCCAACUUCACUUUGGAGAAACUACCCUAGAUCUAAUCGCGAUCCCGUCCAGCGGCAAUCGUCUCCAACGCCGCCUUCCAACUUCACUUUGGAGAAACCCUAGAUCUAAUCGGCGAUCUCUUCUCCGGCAAUCGUCUCCUGCUCCGACACCACUGCUUUUGAUAAACUCUUUCAUUGUCUUUUCCUUUCACCGAUCUUCUUUAUGUUUGUGCUAAUAGCGCAGAGGACGGCACCCUCCCCGCAAUGACCGAUGAGAGCGGUGCGGUUUCCGACGGUGCCCUUUCAGUUUCCCCAAAUUUCAGGCGUAUAGGCGAUUUUUCCGACGGAGAUGAUGGAUUAAUCUAGCCGGGCCAAGUUUGACGCAGUCCAAUACCGAUUGACGGUUCGUCGGGACAGUGAGAACUUGCGUUGAGCGUCCUUGAAGAUGCCCCGAGGUGGUGUGCCGUCAACACAAGCCCCCAUAAUAAAUUGGACGACAAGAUUAAUUUUUUGUGUGGGAGACUCCUUUUUGCCCACCAUGACUUCCUUUAAAUCUGUUAGUGUUAGUGUUAGUGUUAGGAAGCAAUUUAAUGUUCAAAAUCUAUUUAUAGAUAUUGCCUCAUCUAUUCUUAAUUCUGCCGCCAAACUUGAAUAUUUCAAAAUGAAAUGGAUGAAAGUUAAAUA